UUUCUUUGUUGCUCAAGAAAAAUAGGCCCUGUGGAUAUGAUGACUGAUUACCUGAGAAAUCAUUGAUAAAAUCUCAAGAAAAUUCCUGUAGGUAGUCAAGUUCUGAUCCAGCUGU
This 115-nucleotide microRNA precursor is filed under the name Nannospalax galili (Upper Galilee mountains blind mole rat). Its description in RNAcentral is "miRNA (ENSNGAG00000007971.1)". The stretch from base 32 to 111 matches the Rfam family "Small nucleolar RNA SNORD20". Rfam says of the family: U20 is a C/D box small nucleolar RNA that is encoded in intron 11 of the nucleolin gene in human, mouse and rat. Lineage: Eukaryota; Metazoa; Chordata; Mammalia; Rodentia; Spalacidae. The record is from RNAcentral.